RNAcentral lists this unclassified non-coding RNA (283 nucleotides) under uncultured fungus. Its description in RNAcentral is "sequence contains ITS1, 5.8S rRNA gene". The stretch from base 235 to 283 matches the Rfam family "5.8S ribosomal RNA", at positions 1 to 49 of the family's 154-position model. The record is from RNAcentral. Lineage: Eukaryota; Fungi.
UUUCCGUAGGUGAACCUGCGGAAGGAUCAUUACCGAACCGUCGACACGAGUUGUUGCUGGCCCCUCUGACGGGGGGCAUGUGCACGCUCUGUUUACACAUCCACUCACACCUGUGCACCCUCUGUGGUUCUAUGGCUCGAGGGGCCUUGUCCCUUAGCCGUGGUUCUACGUUUUUAUAUGCACCCUGUAGUAAAGUCUUAUGGAAUGUGUGCCGCGUUUAACGCAAUGAAAUACAACUUUCAGCAACGGAUCUCUUGGCUCUCGCAUCGAUGAAGAACGCAGC